CAGAAAGCAAUUGAAGUGAGCAGGAGUGCUUGCAACCAUUGGGCUGCUCAUCUGGUGGCUGAUGAAUAUGAAGCCAUAAAAUUAUCUCUGGCAAAAUUUCCUCUCCUGGACUUCUCUGUGCCCUCGAGGAGCUACUGGAUAUCUUUCCCCAACUAUCAGGAGUGAACUGCUUUGCUGUAUGACACACAAUGUGAGAGCUCACCACAGGACCAAAAACAUGGGGCCAAACUGAGCAUGGAUUGAUACCCCAAAGCUGCAAAUCAAAAUA
Heterocephalus glaber (naked mole-rat) is the source of this 268-nucleotide non-coding RNA. NCBI's taxonomy places the organism in Eukaryota, Metazoa, Chordata, Mammalia, Rodentia, Bathyergidae. The record is from RefSeq and is a predicted model, not a curated record.